RNAcentral lists this small nucleolar RNA (129 nucleotides) under Anabas testudineus (climbing perch). RNAcentral's name for it is "Small nucleolar RNA SNORA55 (ENSATEG00000009253.2)". It matches the Rfam family "Small nucleolar RNA SNORA55". From Rfam's summary of the family: ACA55 is a member of the H/ACA class of snoRNA that guide the sites of modification of uridines to pseudouridines. The record is from Rfam by way of RNAcentral. Lineage: Eukaryota; Metazoa; Chordata; Actinopteri; Anabantiformes; Anabantidae.
GCACCUCACAACAACCCUGUCGAUUGUGUUCAGUAUUUGAUAUGGGUGACGCUGGUGCCAUAGAAAGUCAAAGUAAAUCCAGAUGGUGCUCCUCUUUGUGGAAGCUGUCUCUACAACUUUGAUACACAA